RNAcentral lists this long non-coding RNA (226 nucleotides) under Capsicum annuum. Its description in RNAcentral is "long non-coding RNA (CANN_LNC005655)". The record is from RNAcentral. Lineage: Eukaryota; Viridiplantae; Streptophyta; Magnoliopsida; Solanales; Solanaceae.
GCGGAUGAGGGUGGGGCUGUGUAAUACCCCGUAAUUUUUCCUAGCUUGAAAUUGUCCUAAAAAUGUUAGAAAUUUUCUUUGAAAGAUGAAUCCACUUUUGUACACGUGGUAUUUUUAAUAUUUUCACUUUUUGUCACGUGAAAAAUCAAAUAAGCUUUCCAUCGAUACCAAUUUCAUCAAAAUCCGGUAUCGGACGAGAAAGUUAUGGUCGUUUUACAGAGAGCAG